RNAcentral lists this ribosomal RNA (212 nucleotides) under uncultured Enterobacter sp. RNAcentral describes it as "partial 16S ribosomal RNA". It matches the Rfam family "Bacterial small subunit ribosomal RNA", at positions 312 to 525 of the family's 1533-position model. Lineage: Bacteria; Pseudomonadati; Pseudomonadota; Gammaproteobacteria; Enterobacterales; Enterobacteriaceae. The record is from RNAcentral.
CCGCCGCGCGCGGCGGGCCUACGGGAGGCAGCAGUGGGGAAUAUUGCACAAUGGGCGCAAGCCUGAUGCAGCCAUGCCGCGUGUAUGAAGAAGGCCUUCGGGCUGUAAAGUACUUUCAGCGGGGAGGAAGGUGUUGAGGUUAAUAACCUCAGCAAUUGACGUUACCCGCAGAAGAAGCACCGGCUAACUCCGUGCCAGCAGCCGCGGUAAUA